GCCAGACUCCUACGGGAGGCAGCAGUGGGGGAUAUUGCACAAUGGGGGAAACCCUGAUGCAGCGACGCCGCGUGAGUGAAGAAGUAUUUCGGUAUGUAAAGCUCUAUCAGCAGGGAAGAAAAAAGACGGUACCUGACUAAGAAGCCCCGGCUAACUACGUGCCAGCAGCCGCGGUAAUACGUAGGGGGCAAGCGUUAUCCGGAUUUACUGGGUGUAAAGGGAGCGUAGACGGCAAUACAAGUCGGAAGUGAAAUACCCGGGCUCAACCUGGGAACUGCUUUGGAAACUGUAUGGCUGGAGUGCUGGAGAGGUAAGCGGAAUUCCUAGUGUAGCGGUGAAAUGCGUAGAUAUUAGGAGGAACACCAGUGGCGAAGGCGGCUUACUGGACAGUAACUGACGUUGAGGCUCGAAAGCGUGGGGAGCAAACAGGAUUAGAUACCCGUGUAG
Molecule: ribosomal RNA, 447 nt
Filed under: uncultured bacterium
Lineage: Bacteria
Description: bacterial SSU rRNA
Rfam family: Bacterial small subunit ribosomal RNA
Source: RNAcentral